UACGUAGGGGGCGAGCGUUGUUCGGAUUUACUGGGCGUAAAGAGCGCGUAGGUGGUUCGAUAAGUCGGAGGUGAAAUCCCUCGGCUCAACCGAGGAUCCGCGUCCGAUACUGUCGGACUUGAGUGCAGGAGAGGAGAGCGGAAUUCCCAAUGUAGCGGUGAAAUGCGUAGAUAUUGGGAGGAACACCGGUGGCGAAGGCGGCUCUCUGGACUGCUACUGACACUGAGGAGCGAAAGCUAGGGGAGCAAACGGG
This 253-nucleotide ribosomal RNA is filed under the name uncultured bacterium. RNAcentral describes it as "partial 16S ribosomal RNA". It matches the Rfam family "Bacterial small subunit ribosomal RNA", at positions 524 to 776 of the family's 1533-position model. The record is from RNAcentral.